AGUAUACAGUGGUCUUUAAAUGGUUUCAAAUGUCACUUAUCAAAAGGUAAUCAACCACAACUCAACCUUCUAAAUUCAAAUUCUUUCCUCAUGUACACUUUCUUGCAUCUUUUCUUGAUCUUUUGGGGUAAGGGUGAAAGUCCCUAUGUAAUUCUGUGCUGAGGUUUUGGUGAGUCUUCUCAUCUGAAACUUUUCUGCUGCUGUAUCAGCCCCCAGGUUUUCAAUGAAUUUCUAGACUCUUCUCUCAUUUCUGCACAGGAUGAUGUUGGGGUAAAAGGCAGCAGACGACUCUUGAGCUCUACUUGUCUGGUCUGCUAAGGAAUACUUAAUAUUUGUAUAUUCGUACCCUUUCCUCUUGUUUUUCUGCUCUUCUUCCGUCCUGCACUGGAGUGUUUCAAUACAAUGCUUGAUGAUCAUAUAGAUAAGACCAGUGCUGUGCCUCUGUUUGGGCCAGCCCUGAACUCUGAGAUCACACCAACUGAUGGUUUGAGGCAUGCUGCAGUUGGCAGCUUUUCCUCUGAAGAUGUCAAUAAGGAUAUCAAUCACAAUGGAUGCUCCUGUCUGGCCAGUUCCAGCACUGCAGAGGAACUGUCAGUUCUGCAUCCACAAUGCUCUCCUGCUCAUGGUGUACUUCCUCCAGGAAGUCCAACACAGCCCCGGGGUCACCAGGCACUCUGUGGCCUAGCCAGGUACAAAAAUGGUACUGCCAGACUGAUGUUUCCAUAUUCCCUUGUCCGACCUUUCAAAGUUUAAGUUCUCUUGACGUGCAGUUCUUUUACAGCAUAUGCAUCAGGUCAGUAUUUUACACAUUUACUCUUUCUUCUAUUUCUUUUGUUGUCAUGAAAAUCACUCCUGAUUUCUGGAAUACCAUCCACCAGAAGUCAUUCAUUGUGCUUUGCAGGUCCUGGGAAUCACCAGUGCUCUCAAUCUCGAUGUGUGUGACAGCUCCAUUUCUUCUUACGAAGAGUAUGAAGUCUCCGGGGUUUAUUUUACUAAGCCUUGCCAAAAACCUGCCAUCAACUCCUCGACAACAUAUUUUUUUUUGCCUCCACACCUGUGAUAUUUCGGUGAAACCAUCUCCAUUAUGUCAUGUUUCUCCCUCCCUGCGGGACGAACCCACUCCUUGCUCAGGCUCCGCGGGACCUGGUCACAUCGGGGUGGCCCGAGGGGGCCCGCUCGGGACUGGACGGGGGACAGAGCCAGCCCGCCUUGAGCAGAGCCCGGACGAAGCCAGGGGAUCCCUGAGGCAGUGCAGCCAUCUCCCCACCCCCCAGCCCAGCGAGCUCCUCCUCCCUCACGAUUUUAAUUUAUCAGAACACUGAAGUCUUAAAAAAAUAUAAAAGUCAGG
Molecule: long non-coding RNA, 1348 nt
Filed under: Dasypus novemcinctus (nine-banded armadillo)
Lineage: Eukaryota; Metazoa; Chordata; Mammalia; Cingulata; Dasypodidae
Description: lncRNA (ENSDNOG00000051279.1)
Source: RNAcentral